UAUUGGAACACAGCUAUCAUGUCUCCCCUAGUCCUUCUUUUCAUUAAACUAGGCAUACCCAGUUCCUGCAACCGUUCUUCAUGAUGGUGGCGCAAGAGCGAACGGAGCUGAUGCGCACACACGGUGCACAUCCCCUUCCGAACCGGUAGGGAAGCUCUUCCCAUGCCACGAAAGCCACGUGGGCCUGGCUCGAUCACACCCUGAUGCAGUCUCUCCAAGCUGCCGAAAGGCGGUUUCGUCCGAAACAGAAGCCUCCUGUCCACAGAACAAAAGUGGCUGUGUGUGGCAAGGGAGGGGCGUGGCCGCACGCACACAAACCCAGUAGUUCGGAGAACCAGCAAAUACCACCUCUGGCUGGCUCCAGAGUGGGGUGGGAAUGGGGAUCUUGCAGUAUCCUUCCCCGGCCACACCCACCAAGCCACAUCACACCCACCAAGCCACGC
Long non-coding RNA from Ahaetulla prasina, 443 nucleotides. RefSeq lists it as uncharacterized. Lineage: Eukaryota; Metazoa; Chordata; Lepidosauria; Squamata; Colubridae. The record is from RefSeq and is a predicted model, not a curated record. The transcript is spliced from 3 exons.